AACCUGGUUGAUCCUGCCAGUAGUCAUAUGCUUGUCUCAAAGAUUAAGCCAUGCAUGUCUAAGUAUAAGCAAUCAUACUGUGAAACUGCGAAUGGCUCAUUAAAUCAGUUAUAGUUUAUUUGAUAGUACCUUUACCUGGAUAACUGUGGUAAUUCUAGAGCUAAUACAUGCUAAAAACCCCAACUUCGGGAGGGGUGUAUUUAUUAGAUAAAAAACCAAUGCCCUUCGGGGCUCUUUGGUGAUUCAUGAUAACUAAACGAAUCGCAUGGCCUUGCGCCGGCGAUGGUUCAUUCAAAUUUCUGCCCUAUCAACUUUCGAUGGUAAGGUAGUGGCUUACCAUGGUUUCAACGGGUAACGGGGAAUUAGGGUUCUAUUCCGGAGAGGGAGCCUGAGAAACGGCUACCACAUCCAAGGAAGGCAGCAGGCGCGCAAAUUACCCAAUCCCAAUACGGGGAGGUAGUGACAAUAAAUACUGAUACGGGGCUCUUUCGGGUCUCGUAAUUGGAAUGAGUGCAAUCUAAAUCCCUUAACGAGGAACAAUUGGAGGGCAAGUCUGGUGCCAGCAGCCGCGGUAAUUCCAGCUCCAAUAGCGUAUAUUAAAGUUGUUGCCGUUAAAAAGCUCGUAGUUGAACCUUGGACCUGGCUGAUCUGUCCUCCUAAUCGAGCGUACGGAUUCGGUCGGGUCUUUCCUUCUGGGGAACCCUAUGUCCUUCAUUGGGUGUAGUGGGGAACCAGGACUUUUACCUUGAAAAAAUUAGAGUGUCCAAAGCAGGCCUUUGCUCGAAUACAUUAGCAKGGAAUAAUAGAAUAGGA
This 813-nucleotide ribosomal RNA is filed under the name uncultured Ascomycota. Its description in RNAcentral is "SSU rRNA". It matches the Rfam family "Eukaryotic small subunit ribosomal RNA", at positions 1 to 838 of the family's 1831-position model. Lineage: Eukaryota; Fungi; Ascomycota. The record is from RNAcentral.